GACGAACCGUGCGAACGUUAUUCGGAAUCACUGGGCUUAAAGCGCGUGUAGGCGGGCCGGCACGUCGGUCGUUGAAAUCCCCCGGCUCAACCGGGGAAGCGGCGCCGAUACGACCGGCCUCGAGGGACGUAGGGGGGGCUGGAACUUCCGGUGGAGCGGUGAAAUGCGUUGAGAUCGGAAGGAACGCCCGUGGCGAAAGCGAGCCCCUGGACGUCUACUGACGCUGAGACGCGAAAGCCAGGGGAGCGAACAGG
This 254-nucleotide ribosomal RNA is filed under the name uncultured bacterium. RNAcentral's name for it is "partial 16S ribosomal RNA". It matches the Rfam family "Bacterial small subunit ribosomal RNA", at positions 524 to 776 of the family's 1533-position model. The record is from RNAcentral.